GGGACGUUAGCUCAGUUGGUAGAGCAGUUGGCUUUUAACCAAUUGGUCGUAGGUUCGAAUCCUACACGUCCCACCA
Molecule: transfer RNA, 76 nt
Filed under: Endozoicomonas sp. OPT23
Lineage: Bacteria; Pseudomonadati; Pseudomonadota; Gammaproteobacteria; Oceanospirillales; Endozoicomonadaceae
Description: tRNA-Lys
Rfam family: tRNA
About the family: Transfer RNA (tRNA) molecules are approximately 80 nucleotides in length. Their secondary structure includes four short double-helical elements and three loops (D, anti-codon, and T loops). Further hydrogen bonds mediate the characteristic L-shaped molecular structure. tRNAs have two regions of fundamental functional importance: the anti-codon, which is responsible for specific mRNA codon recognition, and the 3' end, to which the tRNAs corresponding amino acid is attached (by aminoacyl-tRNA synthetases). tRNAs cope with the degeneracy of the genetic code in two manners: having more than one tRNA (with a specific anti-codon) for a particular amino acid; and 'wobble' base-pairing, i.e. permitting non-standard base-pairing at the 3rd anti-codon position.
Source: RNAcentral